This 816-nucleotide long non-coding RNA is filed under the name Helianthus annuus (common sunflower). The record is from RNAcentral. Lineage: Eukaryota; Viridiplantae; Streptophyta; Magnoliopsida; Asterales; Asteraceae.
CUUAGGAAAAGUGUAUAGAUUGGAAAAAAACAUAAUCUUAAUUACGAUUGUGCCAUCUCUUUGAAUAAGGAAGAGCGAGCCCUAGGAAAGGGAGUAAGAGAAUACGAUGAAGAUUGAGAGAGCUAGGGGCCGGCCACAGAUCCUUACCGUGGAUUCACGGUGGCGCACAGGCAGUAACAUCACAACCUAGCUUGUAUACUACAACAACUCACUAACCGGAAUCGAGGGUUCUUCAGUUCUACCCAUGGCUCCUCUGUUUUUUUUUUCUUCUUUUCACAUCAGUGCUUCACCAGUGCUUUUCUUUUGUUGUCCAAGAGGGAUUUCAUAUUUCAUAUUUCAUGAAGGUACUGAUUGAUGAAAAUCAAAAUCAUCCUCGCGUUUGAGGAAUAGAGGGAAUGACGAAGUACACCGGCCUUAAAGGAAGUCUGACUGCCGACUUCCGGGCGCGCCACACCCGUAGACCCUGCGAAUAUGUGCACAUUUUUGGGAUAUAGUCAAGCUUGAACGCGCUCCAAUUGCAAAUGCAAAUGUGAAUGCAAGUUCAACAACAUCAAAUGCAACAAAUGCCACGGAUUCAACCAUACCAAUAAGUCGAGCAUGAUUUUGUUUCUCUUAACCAGGACAAUGAAGAGGAAAUUGCUCUGAAAUCCACCCACAAAUGUUAAAGAACAAAAUGGGGGAAACAGGCACAAGAAGAAACGAGCAACAAAGCAAACCUUGGACCCCGAUCGAAUGGAAGCGUUAGCAUGAGCGUGGUGUAAUGAUUCUCUAGAUCCAAUAAAAAGGGUUAUUUUUUUUUCAACUAUAUACAUUAGU